Long non-coding RNA from Ursus maritimus (polar bear), 1844 nucleotides. Lineage: Eukaryota; Metazoa; Chordata; Mammalia; Carnivora; Ursidae. The record is from Ensembl.
GUGACUUUUCCCUCUGAUGAUGAGGAUGGGUCACCGUCUUCAGCCUAUGCUUGUCUCUUUGCAGGCCUUUCCAAAGGGUGCGAGAAGCACCCCAACAUUGCAGCAUCCUGACUUUUUCCGAGAUGCUCUGCUGCCGCAGUCUCUGAGGGCCCAACCUUCCCUCAGCCGGGAGCCAAGAGGACAUCAACAGCCCUUCGGCCUCCCUCUCCGCUGCCACCCAGCUAGCGCUGUAUUUCAGCACGAUCCCCACUCUGGUACCAAAUUCUGCUGCUCUCCCAGGCUUCUCAUCUCAGAUCACGGGCCCAUGCUCACCCAGAUGCUCGAAGCUCACCCAGAAGCAGGGGAGUUAUCCUUGCAUCUCGUACUUCCUGAAAGCUCAUGUCAGCAGAUCCUGCUGUCCCGAAUUCCAGAAGGCUCCACACCCAGCAUGGAGCCCAACGUGGGGCUUGAACUCACGACCCUGAGAUCAAGACCUGAGCUGAGAUCAAGAGUCGGACGCUUAACUGACUGAGCCACCCAGGUGCCCCUCUGAUGAUUUUUUUUUUAAGUCACCUCUGCACCCAACGUGGGGUUCAAGUCAUGACCCUGACAUCCAGAGUCGCACACCCUACAGACUGAGCCAGCCGGGCACCCCUCAAAACUCUGAUUUAAUUCGUUUGGGCUGAAGCCCAGGCAUCGGUGGGUGUUUUUUAAAAAGUUCCUCAAUAGGAUAUAAUGAAAAAGAUUGAUAGUAACAAGCAUUGGCAAGCAUGUGGAGAAAUGAGACCCUUCACGCGUUGCUGGUAGGGACGUAACAUAGCACAGUGCUUUGUUAGUUUCUUAUAAAGUUAAAUACACAUUUACUACAUACACAGGGAUUCCACGUCUAGGCGUCCACUCCGCAGAUAGGAAAACAAACGUUCACACAAACACUUGCACGGGGAUGUUCAUGGCAGCACCAUUCCUAACAGCCAAAAGGUGGAAACAACGCAAACGUCUAGGAUGGUAAACAGACCCACAGAACGUGGCAGAUCUGUGCAUGGAGGACUCUUCGGCGGGAGAAGAGGCUGAACCACUGAUCGGUGCCACAACAUAGCUGAGUCUCAAAACCACGGCGCGAAGUGAAGGGGCUGAGGCCGAAACUUCCGUUUAUGUGAAAGGUCCAGAAAAGGCAACUCUAUAGAGAAAGAAAGCAGAGUAGUGGUUACCCGGGUCUGGGGUGUGGGAAGACGGGGUGAGGGCAAACAGUCACGAGAGCUCUUUUUUGGGGUGACGGAACUGUUCUAAAACUGAGUUGUGAUGGCUGCACAGCUGUGUACGUUUACCCAAAUCAUUGAAUUGUACAUUUGAAACAGGUGACUCUGGCGGCAGAUUAAAAAUGAUACCCCAAGUUUUUCCCGACAGGGUUGAGAUCUCUGGGUUAGAAGCCAAGCGUCCUAGGAACCCCUCAGCCGGGAUCCAGGCGCAGUUGGCGUGCUCCCCCUCCCCCCUCUCUAGGUCAAAGCUUCCUCUGAUCUCAGAUGUUCACAAAGCUGCCAGCUGUCACCCUGGCUUCUUGUUUGGAGAAGUCGGGGACUGCAUUUUGCAGAAUCAGCUCAUAGGAGUGUAAACAUCCCAGUUCGUGGCCACUCUGCCCAAAGUAGUAAGAAUGGGCAUCAGAGGGGCGCCUGGGUGGCACAGCGGUUGAGUGUCUGCCUUUGGCUCAGGGCGUGAUCCCGGCGUUAUGGGAUCGAGCCCCACGUCGGGCUCCUCCGCUGGGAGCCUGCUUCUUCCUCUCCCACUCCCCCUGCUUGUGUUCCCUCUCUCGCUGGCUGUCUCUAUCUCUGUCGAAUAAAUAAAUGAAAUCUUAAAAAAAAAAAAAAAAA